Molecule: ribosomal RNA, 495 nt
Filed under: Shigella sonnei
Lineage: Bacteria; Pseudomonadati; Pseudomonadota; Gammaproteobacteria; Enterobacterales; Enterobacteriaceae
Description: bacterial SSU rRNA
Rfam family: Bacterial small subunit ribosomal RNA
Source: RNAcentral
UUAGAGUUUGGAUCCUGGCUCAGAUUGAACGCUGGCGGCAGGCCUAACACAUGCAAGUCGAACGGUAACAGGAAACAGCUUGCUGUUUCGCUGACGAGUGGCGGACGGGUGAGUAAUGUCUGGGAAACUGCCUGAUGGAGGGGGAUAACUACUGGAAACGGUAGCUAAUACCGCAUAACGUCGCAAGACCAAAGAGGGGGACCUUCGGGCCUCUUGCCAUCGGAUGUGCCCAGAUGGGAUUAGCUAGUAGGUGGGGUAACGGCUCACCUAGGCGACGAUCCCUAGCUGGUCUGAGAGGAUGACCAGCCACACUGGAACUGAGACACGGUCCAGACUCCUACGGGAGGCAGCAGUGGGGAAUAUUGCACAAUGGGCGCAAGCCUGAUGCAGCCAUGCCGCGUGUAUGAAGAAGGCCUUCGGGUUGUAAAGUACUUUCAGCGGGGAGGAAGGGAGUAAAGUUAAUACCUUUGCUCAUUGACGUUACCCGCAGAAGAA